RNAcentral lists this long non-coding RNA (1069 nucleotides) under Coturnix japonica (Japanese quail). Its description in RNAcentral is "lncRNA (ENSCJPG00005017625.1)". The record is from RNAcentral. Lineage: Eukaryota; Metazoa; Chordata; Aves; Galliformes; Phasianidae.
GCAGGUCUUUGGCUUUGAAGUGAUUUCCACUCUUUCAGUCUCUUUGCUCACAUGGAAUGACAAGUUUUGUUAUUACGUGUGUAAGAAAUUAUUUCACGUGCUUAAAUGUUUUAAUGUCACUGAUGCCUGAAAAAAAGAAACCACCCAGGGACUGUUAAUGUUGGCUGUAUUCUCUUUUGGUAUUCAAAGCGAAGAGGGUUUUGAAUUCAGCUGAAUGGGAACUUCCAUUAACACAAAAUGAAUGCGUUACAGUACUUAUUUGUUUAAGCACCCUGUACUUGCUUCUAAAAGUCCCUACUUCAUGUCUUGGACAAGUGGCUGCUCCACAGAGGUUUCUGUGAAGAUAUCAUAUCAGUCUUCAAGUGUUCAGCAAGAAGCUGGGAGAUUGACAGGUCUCUGGCUGAGAUAUAACCUAUGCCAGAAUUUCCUCUGUGGGAACUGCAGAUACAAUGAUUUCAAUGUACUGUAGGUGACAGCCUCAAAUUAAACCAUACAAAGGAAUUAGUCAAACCCAAACUCUGUGUCUCCCUGAAUUUGUUGAUCCAGGCUGGUCCAAUUUUGAACAGUUUUCUUAGAUAGUAGCAAUGUUUAUUCUCAGUACCUGCUAUUCAUUUAUUCCUAUUAGGACAACGCAGGUUUUUGGAGCUAAAAUGUAGUAAUGUGACAGAAGCCAAUUACCCGCUGCAUGCUUGGCUACAUGGGUAUGGGGGAACAAUAUAUACCACCUGUCUUAGCAGUGAUUCCAUCCACCAAUUUCUCCAUUGAGGGAAAGGUUAUAAAAGGUCCAACAGAUAUCUCUGUUCACUGAGACCUAUUUUAAAGUGAUUUAAUUACCAGUAGCCAACUGGGAGUGCAGUUAGUUGUGGUGUUGGGUUUUUUAUUAUUAUUUUUAUUGUCUUAGAACCUGUUGCUUUAUUUUGUCUGUGACUUUCAUUUUUAGAUAGCUUAUUAUCCAGCUUUUUUUUUUUUUCCCACGUUAUAGUUAAACAUUUAUAAGCAAUGGAAGAUCUUGAACAGAGAAAGAUAUAUACAGAAUAAAAGUAGUUACAUUAGUGUGUGAAAAGUGGGU